This 253-nucleotide ribosomal RNA is filed under the name uncultured bacterium. RNAcentral describes it as "partial 16S ribosomal RNA". It matches the Rfam family "Bacterial small subunit ribosomal RNA", at positions 524 to 776 of the family's 1533-position model. The record is from RNAcentral.
UACGAAGGGGGCUAGCGUUGUUCGGAAUUACUGGGCGUAAAGCGCGCGUAGGUUGCUCGACAAGUCAGUGGUGAAAGCCCAGAGCUUAACUCUGGAACUGCCAUUGAAACUGUCGAGCUGGAAUCUCAGAGGGGAUAGCGGAAUUCCAAAUGUAGGGGUGAAAUCCGUAGAUAUUUGGAGGAACACCGGUGGCGAAGGCGGCUAUCUGGAUGAGUAUUGACACUGAGGCUCGAAAGCGUGGGGAUCAAACAGG